Lates calcarifer (barramundi perch) is the source of this 1066-nucleotide RNA transcript. RefSeq lists it as uncharacterized. NCBI's taxonomy places the organism in Eukaryota, Metazoa, Chordata, Actinopteri, Centropomidae. The record is from RefSeq and is a predicted model, not a curated record. The transcript is spliced from 8 exons.
UUUUAAGUUUCGAUUUUGACGCCAUUACUGGUCUCUCGCUUACUGCGAUGAACGGCGGAGGAGCGGAUGGUUGAAGUGAUUAAUGUAUUUUUUCGAAAUAUUUGGUGUAAAAUGCCAAAAUGCAGGCUGUGUGGUGAAGUACAGAGAUCGUCAGAAGUACAUUUGUUAUGAGGGGCAGCUGACCUUCCAGUCCUUUUUGGAUUGUGUUUCCAAAAAGUUUAACAUUCUGAGCUUGGACUUAAAAAUCUUUGAUGAAUCGAAGACUGAAGUUGAUGAGGAGGUGUUUGAGUUUCUUAUAAAGAAACAAGACCUUGGUGUGCUGGAGAUUCGUUUACCUCAAGGCCCAGAUUCCAGUGAUUCGUGGAGCUUCUCUACAAACAGCUCCUUUGCAAGCUCCAGUGGAGAAAAUGAGGGAGACUGUGAUGACACCAUCAUACUGCAGCAUAGUCCUGGAACAAGGAAGAGAGCUGAGGAUAAUCAGCUAGCUCAAAUUGAAGACAUUCUGAAGAACAAACCUGGAGGAGAGAGGAUCAUAAAUGAGUACACCUGCACCAAAAGUCUAACUGAUAGCAGAAGGCAUGAUAUGGUCAAGAUAUUGGUUGCACACAUGACAAGCGAAUAUGGGACAAGUCCAUCAAGACGUGUUAGAGGACUGUGCAAAGGGCAUCACUAUCUUGUUCCCAUACUUGGCCGAUCCUAGGAGCAAGCUUGGCUAUGAACAUUAUUACAAUGCAGAAGAUGGGAGUGGUUAUCUGGCAUGGAGACUGAAGUUUGUUCCAAAGGACCUGUUAUCGGUCAAUAACAGUACUUCAAGACGUGAAAAUUUCUCUGUUGAUAUUAUGCACGAUACUCAAUUUGAGUAAAAUUUAUUCUGAUAAAUUUACUGUAUAGCAACUCAAUUGAUGCAUCUCAUACUAGAAUUAGUGUUACUGUACAGAGUGUGUGUCUGGGUACCUGUUGAUCCAUUUUCAGGAGGUUUCAGCAAUCUUCCUAUCAAAACAAAUCAAUUUGACCACUUUUACACAUAAAUUUCUUUUGUAAUGGUAUGAUAUCUUAUAGAUUAGGA